GGGGCUACUGUAGUUCUGGCCAACGACCCUGACGCUGACACCGCCUGGCCGUUGCUGAGCAACAGAAAGGUGGUCAGUGGCGUGUGUUCAGUGGUAAUGAGUUGGGGGCGUUGCUGGGUUGGUGGGUGUAUCAGUGUUGGAAACAGACCAACCCGGACCAGUCUACCGUGAAGUCGGUCUACAUGUUGGCCUCCACCGUCUCCUCUAAGAUUCUACGAGCCAUCGCUCUCAAGGAGGGCUUCCACUUCGAGGAAACUCUGACUGGGUUCAAGUGGAUGGGCAACAGAGCCAGAGAGCUGCUGGACCAGAACAAGAUUGUACUGUUCGCCUUCGAGGAGGCUAUAGGGUACAUGUGUGGUUAAAGAUGGGGUCAGUCCUCUCGCCCCUCGUUGUGUUGCAGGGUACAUGUGUGGUUAAAGAUGGGGUCAGUCCUCUCGCCCCUCGUUGUGUUGCAGGGUACAUGUGUGGUUAAAGAUGGGG
This is a long non-coding RNA of Oncorhynchus nerka (sockeye salmon), 480 nucleotides long. RefSeq lists it as uncharacterized. The transcript is spliced from 4 exons. NCBI's taxonomy places the organism in Eukaryota, Metazoa, Chordata, Actinopteri, Salmoniformes, Salmonidae. The record is from RefSeq and is a predicted model, not a curated record.